CUCCGUAGAGUUCCGGGUACUUUUCAGACUAUGUGAACUCUUUGAGAUGUCAGACAGCUCUUUAAGGCUGGUAUUAUUCUUGUUUUUCUGAGAAAGAAACUAAGGCCCAAGAAUAUAAAGCAGCUUGCCUCUCACAUCAUAUAGGUGAUGACAAACAGGCACAGAAACAUUUGGAAUGAAUGACAAAAUGUUAACAUAAUAUAUGUCAAAGGUAAUGCUUGCAUUGGGAAGUAAGGACAGUGCACAAUAAAUGCAAUAAAAAUAUUGUAUACCACCAAGUGCAUAGGGUGAACUCAAAUAACUGCACAUUUAACUGAUUCUCUCGAAUUUAUUACUAAACUAAUACACAAGGAGCUUGAUUAUCUUACAAAAGAAUAUUAGGUAUAAUCCUUAGUACAUUUAAAAUAGAUGUAGUUCACUGAAAUUGAGAUGUAUGUCCAAUAUUUUGAACAUAUAGUUUUAUAAAGUAUCUCUUUAUUGGUGUAUAUUGCAUUCUGAGUUUUCUGUUUUUUAGGAGGAUAAGAAGCAAACAUUCAUCUUCUACUUGUAUAACAAAGAGGAAAUGAGACACAAAGAGAAGUGGUGAAUUUAUUUAGCAUAAGAGCAGCUGCCGGGAAAAAGAUGAGAUGGAAAAGGAUCUUCAAGCUUUGGGACUGCAGUACAUCCCAAACCAGGAAGGCUCCAACCAAAUCCUUCCUGAGGGAUCGAACUCGGGUCCUCGCGCUUGUGCAGCAGGCAACGAAACCACUGAGCUAAAUCCCUGGCCCGUCUGAUUCUUAAAUUAGCCCACUGAUUGUUUUGACAUAGUUCUGGGUAGGAUUAAGAGUGCCCCAACCUGGGUGCGAGUGCUACCUGCCCUAAAGGUGGGUUGCCUGGAUAAAAUAUAAGGGACAGAAAGAGGGUUGCUGUGGUCGAUUGCUGCUUCCUCGCUUGGUGGUUUACUACUGCCUACCUGCCAUGAACUGUUUCUGCUCUGGGACGCCCCUCUGCCAUGUGCCACCCUGCCUUGGAGCCAGCUGAUUAUGGACUGAAACCUCUACAAACCGUGAG
This 1050-nucleotide long non-coding RNA is filed under the name Heterocephalus glaber (naked mole-rat). Its description in RNAcentral is "lncRNA (ENSHGLG00000050530.1)". The record is from RNAcentral. Lineage: Eukaryota; Metazoa; Chordata; Mammalia; Rodentia; Bathyergidae.